GGAGCUCUCCCAUAUGGUCGACCUGCAGGCGGCCGCGAAUUCACUAGUGAUUCGUAUUACCGCGGCUGCUGGCACGGAGUUAGCCGGUGCUUAUUCUGUGGGUAACGUCAAGAUGCAGCGAUAUUAGCGCUGCACUUUUCUUCCCCACUGAAAGUGCUUUACAACCCGCAGGCCUUCUUCACACACGCGGCAUUGCUGGAUCAGGCUUUCGCCCAUUGUCCAAUAUUCCCCACUGCUGCCUCCCGUAGGAGUCUGGGCCGUGUCUCAGUCCCAGUGUGUCCGUCCGCCCUCUCAGGCCGGAUACCGAUCGUUGCCUUGGUGAGCCGUUACCUCACCAACAAGCUAAUCAGACGCGGGCCGAUCUUUCGGCGAUAAAUCUUUCCCCGUAAGGGCUUAUCCGGUAUUAGCACAAGUUUCCCUGUGUUGUUCCGAACCAAAAGGUAUGUUCCCACGCGUUACUCACCCGUCUGCCGCUGACGUAUUGCUACGCCCGCUCCACUUGCAUGUGUUAAGCCUGCCGCCAGCGUUCGCUCUGAGCCAGGAUCAAACUCUAAUCGAAUUCCCGCGGCCG
Molecule: ribosomal RNA, 571 nt
Filed under: uncultured Alphaproteobacteria bacterium
Lineage: Bacteria; Pseudomonadati; Pseudomonadota; Alphaproteobacteria
Description: partial 16S ribosomal RNA
Source: RNAcentral